RNAcentral lists this long non-coding RNA (214 nucleotides) under Paramuricea clavata. Lineage: Eukaryota; Metazoa; Cnidaria; Anthozoa; Malacalcyonacea; Plexauridae. The record is from RNAcentral.
GGGACUGGUCAUAAUUUAUCAGGGGGUGGGGAGGUGUAAUUCAAAAUUUUAAGGAAUGAUAUUUUGUGACCCAGUUUUGCCAUAACCCGGAAAAAUAAUGCCCCCCCCCCCUCUCUCUUGCUCGUGUCAGUAAAAAUGUAUCUACCUACUACUAAACCCUGCAUUCAAUAAAUUUUCUAAUUUCACUUUAAAUUUUCUAAUUUUCUAGUUGCGC